This 465-nucleotide ribosomal RNA is filed under the name Vreelandella stevensii. RNAcentral describes it as "partial 16S ribosomal RNA". It matches the Rfam family "Bacterial small subunit ribosomal RNA", at positions 338 to 795 of the family's 1533-position model. The record is from RNAcentral. Lineage: Bacteria; Pseudomonadati; Pseudomonadota; Gammaproteobacteria; Oceanospirillales; Halomonadaceae.
CCUACGGGGUGCAGCAGUGGGGAAUAUUGGACAAUGGGCGAAAGCCUGAUCCAGCCAUGCCGCGUGUGUGAAGAAGGCCUUCGGGUUGUAAAGCACUUUCAGUGGGGAAGAAAGCCUUGGGGCUAAUACCCUCGAGGAAGGACAUCACCUACAGAAGAAGCACCGGCUAACUCCGUGCCAGCAGCCGCGGUAAUACGGAGGGUGCGAGCGUUAAUCGGAAUUACUGGGCGUAAAGCGCGCGUAGGCGGUCUGAUAAGCCGGUUGUGAAAGCCCCGGGCUCAACCUGGGAACGGCAUCCGGAACUGUCAGGCUAGAGUGCAGGAGAGGAAGGUAGAAUUCCCGGUGUAGCAGUGAAAUGCGUAGAGAUCGGGAGGAAUACCAGUGGCGAAGGCGGCCUUCUGGACUGACACUGACGCUGAGGUGCGAAAGCGUGGGUAGCAAACAGGAUUAGAUACCCUAGUAGUC